AUUGAACGCUGGCGGCAGGCCUAACACAUGCAAGUCGAACGGUAACAGGAAGAAGCUUGCUUCUUUGCUGACGAGUGGCGGACGGGUGAGUAAUGUCUGGGAAACUGCCUGAUGGAGGGGGAUAGCUACUGGAAACGGUAGCUAAUACCGCAUAACGUCGCAAGACCAAAGAGGGGGACCUUCGGGCCUCUUGCCAUCGGAUGUGCCCAGAUGGGAUUAGCUAGUAGGUGGGGUAACGGCUCACCUAGGCGACGAUCCCUAGCUGGUCUGAGAGGAUGACCAGCCACACUGGAACUGAGACACGGUCCAGACUCCUACGGGAGGCAGCAGUGGGGAAUAUUGCACAAUGGGCGCAAGCCUGAUGCAGCCAUGCCGCGUGUAUGAAGAAGGCCUUCGGGUUGUAAAGUACUUUCAGCGGGGAGGAAGGGAGUAAAGUUAAUACCUUUGCUCAUUGACGUUACCCGCAGAAGAAGCACCGGCUAACUCCGUG
This 490-nucleotide ribosomal RNA is filed under the name uncultured bacterium. RNAcentral's name for it is "partial 16S ribosomal RNA". It matches the Rfam family "Bacterial small subunit ribosomal RNA", at positions 30 to 507 of the family's 1533-position model. The record is from RNAcentral.